AACGCAUCUUGCGCUCCUUGGUAUUCUGAGGAGCAUGCCUGUUUGAGUGUCAUUAAUAUAUCAAUCCUCUUCAGCUUUUUGCAUGUCGAGUGUUGGAUGUGGGGGUUUUUGCUGGACUCUCUUGAGGUCAGCUCUCCUAAAAUACAUUAGCAAAACAAUUUGUUUACCGCUCAUUGGUGUGAUAACUAUCUACGCUGUUGACAGUAAAGCACAGUUUAGCUUCUAACCGUCCAUUAAAUUGGACAACCUUUUAUCAAUGUGACCUCAAAUCAGGUAGGAUUACCCGCUGAACUUAA
This 296-nucleotide unclassified non-coding RNA is filed under the name uncultured Cortinariaceae. Its description in RNAcentral is "sequence contains ITS2". The record is from RNAcentral. Lineage: Eukaryota; Fungi; Basidiomycota; Agaricomycetes; Agaricales; Cortinariaceae.